Molecule: ribosomal RNA, 585 nt
Filed under: uncultured bacterium
Lineage: Bacteria
Description: partial 16S ribosomal RNA
Rfam family: Bacterial small subunit ribosomal RNA
Source: RNAcentral
UGGGGAAUUUUGGACAAUGGGCGAAAGCCUGAUCCAGCAAUGCCGCGUGUGUGAAGAAGGCCUUCGGGUUGUAAAGCACUUUUGUCCGGAAAGAAAUCCCUGGCUCUAAUACAGUCGGGGGAUGACGGUACCGGAAGAAUAAGCACCGGCUAACUACGUGCCAGCAGCCGCGGUAAUACGUAGGGUGCAAGCGUUAAUCGGAAUUACUGGGCGUAAAGCGUGCGCAGGCGGUUUGCUAAGACCGAUGUGAAAUCCCCGGGCUCAACCUGGGAACUGCAUUGGUGACUGGCAGGCUAGAGUAUGGCAGAGGGGGGUAGAAUUCCACGUGUAGCAGUGAAAUGCGUAGAGAUGUGGAGGAAUACCGAUGGCGAAGGCAGCCCCCUGGGCCAAUACUGACGCUCAUGCACGAAAGCGUGGGGAGCAAACAGGAUUAGAUACCCUGGUAGUCCACGCCCUAAACGAUGUCAACUAGUUGUUGGGGAUUCAUUUCCUUAGUAACGUAGCUAACGCGUGAAGUUGACCGCCUGGGGAGUACGGUCGCAAGAUUAAAACUCAAAUGAAUUGACGGGGUCAUAGCUGUUUCCU